GAUGAACGCUGGCGGCGUGCUUAACACAUGCAAGUCGAACGGUGAACACGGAGCUUGCUCUGUGGGAUCAGUGGCGAACGAGUGAGUAACACGUGAGCAACCUGCCCCUGACUCUGGGAUAAGCGCUGGAAACGGCGUCUAAUACUGGAUAUGUGACGUGACCGCAUGGUCUGCGUUUGGAAAGAUUUUUCGGUUGGGGAUGGGCUCGCGGCCUAUCAGCUUGUUGGUGAGGUAAUGGCUCACCAAGGCGUCGACGGGUAGCCGGCCUGAGAGGGUGACCGGCCACACUGGGAUUGAGACACGGCCCAGACUCCUACGGGAGGCAGCAGUGGGGAAUAUUGCACAAUGGGCGAAAGCCUGAUGCAGCAACGCCGCGUGAGGGAUGACGGCCUUCGGGUUGUAAACCUUUUUUAGCAGGGAAGAAGCGAAAGUGACGGUACCUGCAGAAAAAGCGCCGGCUAACUACGUG
This 469-nucleotide ribosomal RNA is filed under the name uncultured bacterium. RNAcentral's name for it is "partial 16S ribosomal RNA". It matches the Rfam family "Bacterial small subunit ribosomal RNA", at positions 28 to 507 of the family's 1533-position model. The record is from RNAcentral.